RNAcentral lists this unclassified non-coding RNA (428 nucleotides) under Hevea brasiliensis (rubber tree). The record is from RNAcentral. Lineage: Eukaryota; Viridiplantae; Streptophyta; Magnoliopsida; Malpighiales; Euphorbiaceae.
AACCUUCAUGCAAAUAGGCUAGCCUGCAGAAGAUAAAGGAAACCAUAAAACUUCAGAGAAAAAGAAAGAUGGGAAAAGAUAUAAUUUUAGAAAGAAAUAACAAAAUUAAAGUUCCAUGAAAUUGUUGGCCAGCACAACAACUACAGUUCCUGAGGCUUUGUCAAAGAACACUAUCAAGUCAAUCCAAGGCAAUUGGCAGUUACAGGAAAGCAUAAUUUUGAAUGGAUAGAGUGGGAUGGAUUAUUGGAUCAAUUGAAUCAAUGGAAGUCAUAAAAAAAAUGAUGGAAAAUUCCAUAUUCAGAACUUCCUUGGUGCUCAAAUAAUUUUUAUCGACUGAUUAACAUAUAAAUGAAGACUCCACACUACUAACAUCAUUUGGAACCAAAAACCGGCAAAAAUUUAAGGCUCAUGAAAGCAACAAUACUGCA